Coturnix japonica (Japanese quail) is the source of this 1171-nucleotide long non-coding RNA. RefSeq lists it as uncharacterized. Lineage: Eukaryota; Metazoa; Chordata; Aves; Galliformes; Phasianidae. The record is from RefSeq and is a predicted model, not a curated record.
CGUGACUUGUGCCACAGGAUUUCAAGUCCUUCCAAGACACAAACUGAUGCUUUUAUCUCAGCUCUAGGCAAACAUCUGUCCUCAUCACUAAUUAAAAGAUGGAGAUAACAAGCAGGCACAAGCUGUUGCCCCCAGCCCUUCUCUGGCCAGGGUAGAGGCAGGGUCAUACCCUCCUGGCACUUCCCAGUCUGUGACUCAUCUCCCUCAUUGGCACAUCAGCCCAUCACCUGGCACAGACAUCCUUCAGAAUGUGUGAAAAGCACUGGAGUAACAACAGAGAGCUCUUGUGCAUCUCCUCCAGGCCGAGCACUUCACAGCUAUUAUCUACUCACCUCCCUCAGACAAAGUUUGGCCUGAGCUGCUGUGCCCUCAUGGGUAUCGAGCCCAUCCUCACAGCCAGCUUCCCUGCUGAGCAGCUUGGAAAAACCCACCUCAGGAAUGCAAGCUGGUACUUGUGUUAUGGAUGUGAGCAUGAAACUGGUUGAUUAGGGCACGGGUAUCAUGUCCUGUUUCUAAAGCAUCCACAAAGAGUUUGGAAAUCCUCUCCCCAAACUCCACAUUGUCGCUGCAGCCUCCCCAGACCCAGCCACGGCCACCUGCAAGACAGACACGGAUGGUAAGAACAGAGCUGCCCCAGUGGGCUGAGUUCUGCCCCAGGACAUGCACUGCAGUGAGGCUGAGGUGACGGCAGCCCAUCUCAUUGCUGGUCGGUCACAGCAGGAUGCAUGUCAGCAUCUUACCUACACGCCCGUUCCUGGAGUCGUCACAGCUGCAGCUCUCGAAGUCUCCCAUGCUGCAGUUCCUGGUCAGGGUGUACAUAACACCAGCGGAGCUGAUGGCGUGCACAAAGGAUGUCUCUCUGGUAGCUGAAGAAGGGAGAAAAGCUGUCACACACAAACAUACGCACCAGUCAUUGUUUAAUGGGAAGGAAGCCCUCUUGUGAAGCCGUCACCAUUCAGAAGGAGCAAGAAGGGGAUAACAAAACAGACUGUGCAAAAGGUCCUGUCAUCAGAAAGUUGUUCACUGACCUGAAACAAAGAAAGGAAAAUGAGCAGCACCAUUUAACACAGGCUCAAGAGCAUCCCCUCCCAUGCCCCGAAUCCUACCAUGCUGCUGCAUUGAGAACAGCUCCAUAGAUGCCCACGAUGGAGAAGAGGAGGAAGGUGCUGCU